Macaca mulatta (Rhesus monkey) is the source of this 117-nucleotide unclassified non-coding RNA. It matches the Rfam family "Metazoan signal recognition particle RNA". Rfam says of the family: The signal recognition particle (SRP) is a universally conserved ribonucleoprotein. It is involved in the co-translational targeting of proteins to membranes. The record is from Ensembl. NCBI's taxonomy places the organism in Eukaryota, Metazoa, Chordata, Mammalia, Primates, Cercopithecidae.
GCCAGGCGCAGUGGCUCACGCCUGUAAUCCUAACACUGUGGGAGGCUGAGGUGGGGGGAUCACCUGAGGUCAGGAGUUCAUGACCAGCCUGGCCAACAUGGUGAAACCCCAUCUCUA